RNAcentral lists this ribosomal RNA (305 nucleotides) under uncultured bacterium. Its description in RNAcentral is "bacterial SSU rRNA". It matches the Rfam family "Bacterial small subunit ribosomal RNA", at positions 209 to 507 of the family's 1533-position model. The record is from RNAcentral.
AAGCUACCGCUGAAGAUGAGCCUGUGUCCUAUUAGUUAGUUGGCAGGGUAAUGGCCUACCAAGACAAAGAUGGGUAUCCGGCCUGAGAGGGUGUACGGACACACUGGAACUGAAACACGGUCCAGACUCCUACGGGAGGCAGCAGUGGGGAAUAUUGCACAAUGGGCGCAAGCCUGAUGCAGCGACGCCGCGUGGAGGAUGACGGUCUUCGGAUUGUAAACUCCUGUUAAGUGGGAAGAAAGACCAGUAUCUAAUACAUGCUGGGGAUGACGGUACCACUAGAGAAAGCACCGGCAAACUUCGUG